Molecule: long non-coding RNA, 8209 nt
Organism: Mus musculus (house mouse)
Lineage: Eukaryota; Metazoa; Chordata; Mammalia; Rodentia; Muridae
Product: predicted gene, 37233
Exons: 2
Source: RefSeq, a predicted model, not a curated record
GCAAAGGAGAGACACCUGCCGGCAGCUCCCAUAUGGUCUAGCGGUUAGGAUUCCUGGUUUUCACCCAGGCGGCCCGGGUUCGACUCCCGGUGUGCAUCACUUCUCUGGGCUCUACUUCUGAGUCUACGCGUGCACGGAGGACCAAACGUAAGAACACUAUACCAGAGUGACGUUCCAAGACUUCUGUGCAUUUGCCUUUGUUAACCCGAGGUUUAACGCGGGGCUGAGGUGGUCUGCUCUGAAGAUGGAGUUGCCUCUGUCCCUCUGCACUUGAAAGUUUUAGAGUACUGCCUCUUACCACAGUCCAUGGCAGGAGACACUGGAACUCCCCGGGUUGUUACUGUACCCUCCUCCCUCCUCUUCUUGGGGCUCCCAAAACUAGAUUUGAGGCUUGUUCAAAGUGUGAGCUUGUCUCAACGGCAGCACAACCUGUGUCUCUCACCUGGCUGGCCUUGCCCUUUCUUUCUUUCUUUCUUUCUUUCUUUCUUUCUUUCUUUCUUUCUUUCUUUUUUUUUUUUUGGAAGCAACUUCUGCUUCCCCACCCCACCCCCACCCCAACCCCAGCUGUGUUUUGAACUAAUCUCUCUGUGUCUUGAUUUUCCUCGGCAGUUUUCUUAUCCUCUAACCCUCUUUCUUUAACCUCACUUUCUAUGAAGGGCUCCAGCUUGACAAGGCAGACUCCCGUCUUGUAUCCAGGCCUCCAUUUUAUACAAUAGGCCCUGUCUUCAAGGUAAACUCCAAUUACUGGAGAAACCACAAACUGUUUCGGAAGGAGCCACCCUAGACUCUAACAGGAAAACACCCAAAGUUCCAGAGCCUAUAGAUAGAUUGCUUAAGACAACGGAAAUGAUUGUUAGCCAAUCUCUAGCCUGCCAAGCGGAUAAGCUCCUCACCCUGCUGUAACUGCAAUAAAAAAGCUGAACCUCCAGCGCUCCCGGCAUUCUUUGCUACCCCGCUGCGUCGGAGGAGCCUGAGGGUCUGAGCUCGGACUUGGAUAAAGACUCUUUGCUUUUGCAUACGAGUUCGACUUCUGGUGGUCUUUGGGGACCCUAGGAUCUGGGCAUAACAUUUGGGGGCUCAUCCGGGAUCCCCUGAGGCCCCCAGGACCCCCGAGCCGUUGAGUCAGAACCCGGUGGGUAAGUGUCUGAAUGUUUGUGCUCUGCCUCGGUGUCUCAGCGCUCCAAACGAGUAGCCAGCAGGCGGUCCAGGCGUACCGGCGCCACCCGACUUGGGAGAAGUCCCGGACCCGCGAGUAGGGGAUUGGAUCCCCUCGUAGACUUGAAGAGACAAAGAGGGUCGCUCCCGAGGCGGUGCUCUCACUUCUGUUCUUGCCUAAGAUCGCCGCAGGAAGGACUGAGUGCCUUUUUGUCUUUCGCCCAUCUGUUUGCUAUCCGUCUGGACUUAUUUCUUUGUGACUGACUUAGUUCUUUGUGACUGACGCCAUGGGACAGACCCAGACCACUCCUUUUAUCUUUGUUCUUAGACCAUUUCAAAGACUAUAAAACAAGGGCUAGAAGUCGGGGCUUAGUUGUUAAGAAGAGACUAACUGCUUUCUGCAGGAAGGAAUGGCCAACCUUCAACGUUGGCUGCCCGCCAGAGGGGACUUGGAACUUACUCGCGAUUUUUUAGGACCAAGGAUAUCAUUUUUUAGACGACCCGGACACCCAGACCAAGUGCCCUACAUCAUCACCUGGCUGGAUCUGGUCCAGGACCCGCCAAAAUGGCUCAAGCCUUGGCUGCUGCCAAGGCAACCAAGUGCCGCCGUACUCGCCCCAGAAAACCGCGAAGAACCAAAAACAAACUAACCCUAGGGUCUCUCUUUAUCCUGUCUUGCAGGGUAGCACUGAGGAAGACUUCCUCAACCCAGACCCGCCUUAUGAACCCCCAUUAGAGGGUAGCCCAGGCCUUCAACCUGAGGCCCCAGGAGGGGUUCAUGGGUCUCCCUUGGUGAACCCUCCUCACACCCAAUGGAAAGUCCAACAAGAGCUGCCUCAACCACCCGUGGCUGAGUCCACGGUUCUCCCCUUGACGGCAGUAGGUCCCCGGGACGAUGAGGGGAACCAACUGAUGGAAUAUUGUCCCUUAGCCAUUAGACAGCUAUAUAAUUGGAAAUGCAAGUACCCUCAGUUCUCAGAGAAACCAGCUGCGUUGAUUAACUUAAUCGAUUCUGUCAUUUUAACCCACCAGCCCACCUGGGAUGACUGUCAAUUGCUCUUGCAGAUCCUCUUCACUACGGAGUGAGUGUGAGCGAGAGAGGAUUUUAAUUGAGGCCAUAAAAUUGGUUCCAGGAGCAAAUGGGAGCCCUACUACUAAACAAGCUCUUAUUAAUGCAGGCUUUUACGGGACCAGACCAGACUGGAAUUUUAACUUAGCAGAAGGUAAGGAGAGUCUCUGAGUCUACCGCUAGACUCUGAUGAGAGGUCUCAGGGCUGCUGCGCAGAGACCCACUCAUUUGGCCAAGGUACAUAGGGUGCAUCAGGAAAUGGCAGAAUCACCCGCAUUCUUUUUAGAAAGGAUUAUAGAGGCCUAUCGCAUCUACACGUCCCUAGACCCAGCGGCACCUGAGAUUAAGUCAACGGUCAUUAUGUCCUUAGUAGAUCAGGCCGCCCCUGACAUCAAGCACAAAUUGGAGAGAAUAGACAGGCUAGGGGAGAAGAGUUUGCAGGAGUUGCUGGUGGUAGCUGAGAAAGUGGUUGACAACAAAGAAAUACUUACGAAGAAACACUUGCAAGCCUAUGAGGAGCUAGGAAAUCAAAGGUUGGCCACAUUCUGUGUGCCUUUGUUGGCAGAUUCCCCGGAAGAGAAAGACCACCAAUGGAAAAGGUAAGCGGCCCCAACAAAAGAGGAAGCCAAAGCUCAAAAAGAACCAAUGUGCAUACUGUAAGAAGAUGGGACAUUGGGUCAAGGACUGCCCCAAGAAACCUCCAAAGAGGGACAAAGGAGGACAGGGUUCAGACCCCCUCCCUGAGCCCAGAGUAACCCUUAAAGUGGAGGGGAAAUCCAUUAGUUUCUUAGGAGACACAGGGGCACAAUAUUCAGUCCAAGCCCAUGGAAAACUGUCCUCAAAGAAAUCGUCGGAACCUGGGGCCACUGGUAUGAAUCAGGAUGCAUGGAGUACCCAAAAAAGAGUGAAUCUCAGAACGGGCCAGGUAUCCCACUCCUUCAUGACCAUACCAGAUUGUCCUAACCCCUCUUGGGGAGAAAUUUGCCAACCAAGGUAGGAGCUCAGAUUUCUUUUGAUCAAAAAGGGGAUUCUGUCACAGAUUCCAGAGGAUACCCUAGUCACAUACUCCCCCUGCCUCUAGAUGAUGAAUAUAAAUUGGACCAAAGACCAAGCUCUUUCCCGAAUGAGAGCUCAGCUUAGUUAACCAAGUUCCCCUCAGCUUGGGCAGAAACCGAAGGAAUGGGGUUGGCGGACCAUAGGACCCCCAUUCGGGUUGAACUGAAACCAGAGGCAACGCCUGUCCGAAUAAGACAGUACCCAAUCUCCCGUGAAGCCAAAUCAGUUAUCAUACCCCCCCCACAUCAGAAGGUUCAGGACUUGGGCAUACUAGUACCUUGCCAGUCCCCAUGGAACACGCCCCUACACUCCAUCAAGAAGCACAACUCAAAGGACUAUAGACUAGUCCAGAACCUCAAAGAGGUAAACAAAAGAGUUAUGGACAUAUAUUUCACAGUACCAAACACGUAUACCAUCCUGAGUUUGUUAAAACCUUCCCAGACUUGGUAUACAGUAUUGGACCUCAAAGAUGCUGUCUUAAGCCUGCUUUUAGCCCCCUUGAGCCAACCUCUGUUUGCCUUUGAAUGGCACAACCCAGAAGAAGAAUUCAAUGGACAACUAACAUGGACCAGACUGUCACAAGGCUUCAAGAAUUCAACAGUCAUCUUUAACAAGGCUCUACAUGAAGAUCUGGGUGAGUACAGUCGGGAACACCCCAAUACCACCCUCUUGCAAUAUGUAGAUGAUCUCUUAGUGGCAGCAGAGACCAUGGAAGAAUGUCAACGGAGUACUGAGGACCUGCUAAUGGCACUGGGGCAAUUAGGCUACAGGGCAUCAGCUAAGAAGGCUAAAAUCUGCCAACAAGAGGUAACAUACUUGGGAAACAUCCUAAAAGGGGGCCAAUGAUGGCUAUCGGAGGCCCAAAAAGAUACCAUUUUGAAGAUCCCCACACCCACCACAAAACAGAAGGUCAGACAGUUCUUGGGGUCGGCAGGAUUCUGCUGCAUUUGGGUCCCUAAUUUUGCAGAAUUGGCAAAGCCCCUCUAUGAGGCCACCAAAAAAAGGGGGCCCAAUGGACUGAGGCCCAGGAAAGAUCUUUCAAUAGAUUCAAACAGGCCUUAUUGGCAGCCCCCGCAUUAGUACUACCCGACAUCACCAAGCCCUUUCGUCUAUAUAUAGAUGAAAGCAAAGGCAUAGCUAAAGAAGUCCUCACUCACAUGUUAGGAUCCUGGAUUCACCCAGUAGCAUACCUAUCAAAGAAAUUAGUCCCUGUGGCUUCUGGAUGGCCUCCGCGUUUGAGAAUUAUCACUGCCACAGCCUUGCUAGUCAAGGAUGCAGACUUCGAGGCAAGAACUUUGUAUUACCACUCCCCAUGCCAUAGAAAGGAUUCUCAAACAACCCCCAGAUCAAUGGGUGAGCAAUGCACGCAUGACUCACUACCAAAGCCUGCUACUAAACCCUGAGUGUAUCCACUUCCUACCAAGCACUGCCCUGAACCCAGCCUCUCUGCUACCAGACCCAGAUUUGGAGACCCCAGUACAUGAUUGUGUGGGCAUACUAAGCCAGGUGCACAGAGUUGGGAAAGACCUAAUAGCCCGGGCCUCUGCCAAAUGCAGAAGCCACUUGGAUCAUGGACGGUAAAGCUUUGUGCUUGUAUGCAGGGGUGGCAGUGUUAUCAGACUCAGAAACUAUAUGGGCAUCUGCCCUGCCACCCAGCACUUCUACACUAUGGGGCAAACUCAUGGCCCUAACAGAAGCCUUAAAAAUGGAAAAAGGCAAAAUACUCAACAUUUAUACAGCUAGCAGAAAUGCCUUUGCUACAGCCCAUGUCCCUGAGGCCAUUUAUCAGGAGAGAGGACUCAUGACAGCUGAAGGAAAGACUAUUAAAAACAAACAGGAAGCCAGGCAUGGUGGCACACACCUUUAAUCCCAGCACUCGGGAGGCAGAGGCAGGCAGAUUUCUGAGUUCAAGGCCAGCCUGGUCUACAAAGUGAGUUAAAGGACAGCCAGGACUAUACAGAGAAACCCUGUCUUGAAAAACAAAACAAAACAACAACAACAACAACAACAACAACAACAACAACAAAACAGGAGAUCCUAAACCUUUUGGAGGCCUUUUGGCUUCCAAAGAAACUGGCUAUUAUACACUACCCACAGCACCAAAAGGCAAUGAUGCCUGAAGCAAAAGGCAGUCAAUGGGGCAGAUUCGGCAGCCAAGGCAGCAGCUCUCAAUCCUGUGGCAACUUUGACUUUCCAACUGCCUGACCCAGGAGCUCCAAUCCUACCAGAUGAGCCUGAAUACUCCAAAGAGGAUGUUCUCUCUAUUCACAAACUGCCUAUGGCCCAUAAGCCUGAUGGCUGGUGGCUCACCGGGGGCUGCAAAAUAAUCCUGCCCAGCAAUUUGGCAGCCAGUCUGCUCUAGCAUAUACACUGGACAACCCACUUGGGGACCAAGAAAACUGAGGAUCUGGUAGGAAAGGCAGACCUAAUAAUCCUCAACCUCAGGUCCCAGAUCAGACAGAUAGCCUCCAAAUGCUUUAGCUGUAAGCUCACUAAUGCAGAGAAUCAACCAAAGGAUAAAGGAUGCCAAACCGGGUGCUCACUGGGAAAUGGACUUUACUGAGAGAUAAGACCAGGGAAACAUGGUUACAGGUACCUACAGGUCAUGCUUGUAGACACCUUUUCAGGAUGGACUGAAGCCUACCCCACCAGGCAUGAAACAGCACAAAUAGUGAUCAAGAAGAUACCAGAGGAGGUGUUUCCCAGGUAUGGAAUGUCAGCCCUCCCAAGCUCUGACAAGGGACCUGUCUUCUUCACUAAGGUAACAUAGGGGAUGGCUAAAGCCAUUGGAGUGGAUUGGAAACUACAUUGUGCUUAUAGGCGCCCAAGCUCAGGACAGGUAGAGAGGACGAAUAGAACUUUAAAAGAGACCCUUACUAAAUUAAACUUGGAGACUGGUGGAAACUGGAUGGCUCUCCUCCCCUUCGCCCUCUAUAGGGUUCACCACAUACUCUAUACGUUGGAUUUAACCCCUUAUGAAAUCAUGUUUAGAAGACACACACACCCACACACACAUACUUUACCUAACCUAAAAUCUGAAGUGUUAGCUGAAAAUGAUGAUUGCCACUUACUUGACUCUCUUGAACAUCUAGCCUACACCCAAAAGGAGCUCUGGCCUCACCUGAAGGCUGUUUUUGAGGCUGCACCACCUCAUCCUCCCCACUGCUAUUGCUCUGGAGGCUGGGUCUUCCUGUCAAGGCACCAGAAGGGAACCCUAGAACCCUGCUGGGAAGGACCCUAUGUCGUGGUCCUAAGAACAUCCACUGUCCUCAGGAUUGAUGACAUUGCUACCUGAAUACAUCACACAUACCCACAUCUUGCAGACCCACAUCCAAACCCAGUCUACGUCUCCCCAAGGUGACAUAUUGCCUGAGACCAAGAGACUCCAUAAAAACUCAAGCUCCAGUGCUCCUAAGCUUAUUGGCAUGGGCUUCUUGCUUCCAGGAGUUGCCAGCUCUCUCACGGGUUCUAGCCCUCAGCUGCUCUGGAACCUAACCUGGGCUCUGAGAGAUGCAGUCACCAGUGGCAUUUCCCACCAGCAGAGCAUGACUGUGUCCCUUGGCACCUGUUUCGCCGACCUCCACUUCGACCCAACUCACCCACUUGGACUGUCCUGGGCUGAUGGAUUCCUCAGCACAUUUCACCUCUAUGUUUACCCCAGUGCAAAAAUUGGCAACAAGACCCAGCGGUGAUGAUGUGGGGGAGCUGAAUCCUUCUUCUGCUCCUCCUGGGAUUUUGUGAGUAUGGGACACAUUUGGUGGGAUCCCUCUAUCAAGGUGGACUUCAUUUGAGAAUGCUGAAAGACUGAUGACUAAAUCAGCUCUAUGGGCGUUUGGUUCCCUUGCCACCAAACUACGGACACUGGGUGGUGCACCUCCAUCCUCACUAUGUUUAUGGACUUGGGGAAAAAAGGCUAAUGGAUGGGAAUUUAAAAAAAAAAAAAAACCUGGGAGCUCCGAAUUUACGAUAAAGAUAGGUUGGAUGGAAGGGACUAUGGCAGCCUCUUUACAAUCAAAUUAGAUAAGCAAAUACCUACACACCUGCACCUAUAGUUCUACGCCCUAAUAAGGUAUCAGCACCCUCUCUGACACCCAAACAAUCUUAUCAACCAAUACCACCACACAGCAUGGAUGAGCCCAUGUCUGAACCUCUCACAGAGGCCCCUAAUCAACCCUGGCCCAUUACAUCUUCUUGAAGCCACCCACCAAGUGCUUAAUUAGUCUCACACAGAUCUGACUGAGGACUGUUGGCUCUGCUUGAUGCCAACCCCCCAUAUCAUGGUGCAAUAGCCCUUAACUCCUCUGUAACAGGCUAUCAGGGACCUCGGCACUGCAGAUGGCUGUGAGCGGGUCCCAGCUGAGUCACUGUAGUCACUCUUGGGACAAGGGCUCUGUAUAGGUAAUUCUGUGCCCGAGAGAUACUCCUAUACUUAUGUAACACCACAGUAACUUGGACAGGUUCAGGAUACUUGAGCCAUGCUUUCAGUGUUCCUUCUGUUAAUUUUAAAAAGCCAAUGAAAAGUAUCAAUGGAUAGUUCUUUCUCAAGGCAUGACUAACAGUCCUACAUGAUGUCAAAAAUUUGUGGCACAAGCCAUUCAGCCUAUAAGACAGUGAUGUCCAAUGAUAUACAUUAUACAUUACAUGGAUGAUAUCUUAUUAGCAGGGAAAGAGCCUCAGGACUUGCUUCUACUUUAUAGAAAUUUACAACAGGCAUUAUCUGAUAAAGGAUUACAAAUGGCUCCAGAAAAAGUGCAAACUCAAGAUCCUUAUAAUUAUUUCGGUUUUAGGCUUUCAGAUCAAGCUGUUUUUCCUCAGAAAUUUAAAAACGUUAAAUGACUUUCAAAAGCUGUUAGCUGAUAUUACUUGGCUUCAUUUAUUUAAAGCUUACUACAGGAGAAUUAAAACCCUUAUUUGAUAUUCUUAGGGCAA